Mytilus trossulus (common blue mussel) is the source of this 470-nucleotide long non-coding RNA. RefSeq lists it as uncharacterized. NCBI's taxonomy places the organism in Eukaryota, Metazoa, Mollusca, Bivalvia, Mytilida, Mytilidae. The transcript has 3 exons. The record is from RefSeq and is a predicted model, not a curated record.
CAAUAUUCUGUGUACAAAUGUGAAACCUUUAAUUACAAUUUGAAUCUUUUUUUAUAGGGAAAAGACAAGCCUAGCAAGGCAAAAAACAGAAAGUCACAUGAAAACAAGGAUUUCGCAGUGAACGAAAAAGUAAUGGGCUUCUGGAAACUGGAGAAGAAAUGGUAUAAUGCAACAGUCUUAGAAAAAACUAAAUCAGGUUACAAAGUCGUAUUUGCAGACGACAACUUAGUAAGAGUGUUAAGUCUACAAAAUCUACGAAAAAAGACAUCGAGAUGAAUUCAGCUGAAGGUGUUUUGUUUAUAUAUGAACUUACAAGAAACUCACAAGUCAUCUGAUAAUGUUCUUAAAACAGGAUAUGAUAAACAAUAUCAACAACAAAACGAAGCUGUAUUUCCUUGUCCUUGAACAAAAGACAUUUAACAUCAGUCAAAUGAUCCUAUAUAUUUAUACAUGUAUACAAAAUUGAACAA